RNAcentral lists this ribosomal RNA (200 nucleotides) under uncultured bacterium. RNAcentral's name for it is "partial 16S ribosomal RNA". It matches the Rfam family "Bacterial small subunit ribosomal RNA", at positions 328 to 539 of the family's 1533-position model. The record is from RNAcentral.
ACGCUCGACACCUACGGGAGGCAGCAGUGGGGAAUAUUGCACAAUGGGGGAAACCCGUGAUGCAGCGACGCCGCGUGGAGGAAGAAGGUCUUCGGAUUGUAAACUCCUGUUGUUGGGGAAAAAGAGGAUGGUACCCAACAAGGAAGUGACGGCUAACUACGUGCAAGCAGCCGCGGUAAUCUGAGCGGGCUGGCAAGGCG